GGAGGUGAGGGCAAUCUGACUGGGACAUUUGUCCCCCAAGUGACUGCCAGGGUUCACUCAGCUGAUCAGAUUGGCCAGGCAGGUGUUACCACGUCAUACACAUCCUUUUGAAAACUGCAUGUACAAAGAGUGCAAUCUUCCCUGCUCUUCAAUCAAGGUUUAUGAGUAGCUGUGCUCCCCUGCUAGAACCUCCAAAUAAAGACAUAAUUGAAUUUAGCAGCAACUGUACAUAACUGAGAUUUCUAGACUAUUU
This 253-nucleotide small nuclear RNA is filed under the name Oryctolagus cuniculus (rabbit). RNAcentral's name for it is "7SK RNA". It matches the Rfam family "7SK RNA". Rfam says of the family: 7SK was discovered as an abundant small nuclear RNA in the mid-70s but a possible function has only recently been suggested. The record is from Rfam by way of RNAcentral. Lineage: Eukaryota; Metazoa; Chordata; Mammalia; Lagomorpha; Leporidae.